UACGUAGGGGGCAAGCGUUGUCCGGAAUUAUUGGGCGUAAAGAGCGUGUAGGCGGUCCGGUAAGUCGGCUGUGAAAGUCCAGGGCUCAACCCUGGGAUGCCGGUCGAUACUGCCGGACUAGAGUUCGGAAGAGGCGAGUGGAAUUCCCGGUGUAGCGGUGAAAUGCACAGAUAUCGGGAGGAACACCUAUGGCGAAGGCAGCUCGCUGGGACGUUACUGACGCUGAGACGCGAAAGCGUGGGGAGCAAACAGG
This 253-nucleotide ribosomal RNA is filed under the name uncultured bacterium. RNAcentral describes it as "partial 16S ribosomal RNA". It matches the Rfam family "Bacterial small subunit ribosomal RNA", at positions 524 to 776 of the family's 1533-position model. The record is from RNAcentral.